Molecule: transfer RNA, 67 nt
Filed under: Marmota monax (woodchuck)
Lineage: Eukaryota; Metazoa; Chordata; Mammalia; Rodentia; Sciuridae
Description: tRNA.Ala
Source: RNAcentral
GGUUGUGGCUCAGCGGCAGAGCGCUCGCCUAGCACGUGUGAGGCCCUGGGUUUGAUCCUUAGCACCA